AUUGAACGCUGGCGGCAUGCCUUACACAUGCAAGUCGAACGGCAGCACGGGUGCUUGCACCUGGUGGCGAGUGGCGAACGGGUGAGUAAUACAUCGGAACAUGUCCUGUAGUGGGGGAUAGCCCGGCGAAAGCCGGAUUAAUACCGCAUACGAUCUACGGAUGAAAGCGGGGGACCUUCGGGCCUCGCGCUAUAGGGUUGGCCGAUGGCUGAUUAGCUAGUUGGUGGGGUAAAGGCCUACCAAGGCGACGAUCAGUAGCUGGUCUGAGAGGACGACCAGCCACCCUGGGACGGAGAAACGGCCCGAACCCCUAGGGGAGGCAGCAGUGGGGAAUUUUGGACAAUGGCGAAAGCCUGAUCCAGCAAUGCCGCGUGUGUGAAGAAGGCCUUCGGGUUGUAAAGCACUUUUGUCCGGAAAGAAAUCCUUGGCCCUAAUACGGUCGGGGGAUGACGGUACCGGAAGAAUAAGCACCGGCUAACUACGUG
Molecule: ribosomal RNA, 485 nt
Filed under: uncultured bacterium
Lineage: Bacteria
Description: partial 16S ribosomal RNA
Rfam family: Bacterial small subunit ribosomal RNA
Source: RNAcentral